UUGAUUGAGAGUUUGAUCCUGGCUCAGGACGAACGCUGGCGGCGCGCCUAAUGCAUGCAAGUCGAACGAACGGACCCCUUCGGGGGCGAGUUAGUGGCAGACGGCUGAGUAACGCGUAAGCAACCUACCCACUGGCGGGGGACAACCCGGAGAAAUCCGAGCUAAUACCGCAUGUGGUUGCCUGCCGAUAGCGGGUAACCAAAGGCUUCGGCCACCAGUGGAUGGGCUUGCGUCCCAUCAGGUAGUUGGUGAGGUAACGGCCCACCAAGCCGUCGACGGGUAGCCGGUGUGAGAGCACGACCGGCCAGAGGGGGACUGAGACACGGCCCCCACUCCUACGGGAGGCAGCAGCAGGGAAUCUUGCGCAAUGGGCGAAAGCCUGACGC
RNAcentral lists this ribosomal RNA (386 nucleotides) under Chloroflexota bacterium. RNAcentral's name for it is "bacterial SSU rRNA". It matches the Rfam family "Bacterial small subunit ribosomal RNA", at positions 1 to 389 of the family's 1533-position model. The record is from RNAcentral. Lineage: Bacteria; Bacillati; Chloroflexota.